This 298-nucleotide long non-coding RNA is filed under the name Setaria italica (foxtail millet). RNAcentral's name for it is "long non-coding RNA (SITA_LNC003542)". Lineage: Eukaryota; Viridiplantae; Streptophyta; Magnoliopsida; Poales; Poaceae. The record is from RNAcentral.
GCCUGCCUGACCCAACCGGUGGCCUCGGAUCCGGAGAUUCUGCAGACACACAUGAGUGCCUGCCACACCCUCUCGCUCCACUCCCUGCACUUUACAAUCCCAGCAGCUCUCACUCACUCAAGCCUGAACCCCAGCUCCGCUCAGCUUGCCGCCACCUAAUCCGCCAUUUCUCGCUGGUUUCCUGCUCCAUCCCUCCCUCCCCCUCUCUCUUUUCUCACAGCUGACCUCUUUUUUUUUUCCUCCUUCUACCUUGGCAUAUAAAAAUCUCAGCCUUGGCCAUGGGGUGCCUCUCUCUCUC